AGACGAGGCUAUCCUACAGGACCAUACAUAUGGUAUGCAUCCGCCUGCCAACAUGUGGAUGUUAUGCAAAGAUAUGUAAGAGAAGACUACCAAGAUGCACUAUAAAUGGCUAACAUAUGUCAGUCGACAGGAAAAAGACAGCUACUAAACAUGUACAUUAAUAGAAAUGUUCAGUUAUAAAGAUAAAAUUUAAAUCCCUUCUUGUCUUCUAGGUUGACCAUCAUUAGCUGUAAGUUGCUGCUUGAAGAUAUUGCCAUGCAGGGUUGCAAACUGAAAUGAGGUUUUCUGAAGAUUUACUCCUUCAGAAAUACAGUGUUAUGAUACCCGGUGUUACAAUUGCAAAGAGAUGGAGACACUCUUGUAUUGGAAGCCUCAAAGAAUGACACACAACCAGGUAUUACCCAGCUGAAGCAAGGUUUGUUGAACUGACAGACUAGAAAGUAUUGUCAGGUCAGAGGAAUUACAUAUUGUCUGAAAUUGCUGAAUAAAAUGAAAGGUAGCAUCUGUAUUAAUUCUAGG
RNAcentral lists this long non-coding RNA (519 nucleotides) under Numida meleagris (helmeted guineafowl). Its description in RNAcentral is "lncRNA (ENSNMEG00000005296.1)". Lineage: Eukaryota; Metazoa; Chordata; Aves; Galliformes; Numididae. The record is from RNAcentral.